CACGUAGUUAGCCGUGGCUUUCUAAUAAGGUACCGUCAAGGUACAGCCAGUUACUACUGUACUUGUUCUUCCCUUACAACAGAGUUUUACGAACCGAAAUCCUUCUUCACUCACGCGGCGUUGCUCCAUCAGACUUUCGUCCAUUGUGGAAGAUUCCCUACUGCUGCCUCCCGUAGGAGUCUGGGCCGUGUCUCAGUCCCAGUGUGGCCGAUCACUCUCUCAGGUCGGCUACGCAUCGUUGCCUUGGUGAGCCGUUACCUCACCAACUAGCUAAUGCGCCGCGGGCCCAUCCUAUAGCGACAGCCGAAACCGUCUUUUAGUAUUCCACUAUGAAGUGAAAUAGAUUAUUCGGUAUUAGCCCCGGUUUCCCGGAGUUACUCCCAAACUAUAAGGUAGGUUACCCACGUGUUACUCACCCGUCCGCCGCUAAAUCAAGAGAAGCAAGCUUCUCAAUCAUUCGCUCGACUUGCAUGUAUUAGGCACGCCGCCAGCGUUCGUCCUGACGCCAGGAUCAAACUCCUCG
RNAcentral lists this ribosomal RNA (523 nucleotides) under uncultured Caryophanales bacterium. RNAcentral's name for it is "uncultured Bacillales bacterium partial 16S ribosomal RNA". Lineage: Bacteria; Bacillati; Bacillota; Bacilli; Caryophanales. The record is from RNAcentral.